GCGCAAGGGGUUUUCGUUGGUUCCUGCAUUUCGCAGGCGAAGAGGGAAUGUGACAGGCUUUGGGAUCUUGAUGGAUCCGGGCCAAGAGCACAGCCGCCCCCGCGACCGUGACCGGAAAGGUCUCUGAUGCCACUGGAACUGUGCUUGCCACAGUCCGGGAAGGUAGGAGCACCGCCAAGGGGAAGAUCCUCUUGAAAUCCGCAAGCCGGGAGACCUGCCAACGGUUGAGACAACGG
This is a non-coding RNA of Roseobacter sp. MedPE-SWchi, 236 nucleotides long. Lineage: Bacteria; Pseudomonadati; Pseudomonadota; Alphaproteobacteria; Rhodobacterales; Roseobacteraceae. The record is from Rfam.